RNAcentral lists this ribosomal RNA (440 nucleotides) under uncultured bacterium. RNAcentral describes it as "bacterial SSU rRNA". It matches the Rfam family "Bacterial small subunit ribosomal RNA", at positions 8 to 479 of the family's 1533-position model. The record is from RNAcentral.
AGAGUUUGAUCCUGGCUCAGAAUCAACGCUGGCGGCGUGCCUAACACAUGCAAGUCGCACGAGAAAGGGACUUCGGUCCUGAGUACAGUGGCGCACGGGUGAGUAACACGUGAAUCAUCUACCUUCGAGUGGGGAAUAACUGAGAGAAAUCUUAGCUAAUACCGCAUAAUACCUACGGGUCAAAGCAGCAAUGCGCUUGAAGAGGAGUUCGCGGCAAGAUUAGUUAGUUGGCGGGGUAAUGGCCCACCAAGACGAUGAUCUGUAUCCGGCCUGAGAGGGCGCACGGACACACUGGAACUGAAACACGGUCCAGACUCCUACGGGAGGCAGCAGUGGGGAAUUUUGCGCAAUGGGGGAAACCCUGACGCAGCAACGCCGCGUGGAGGAUGAAAUCCCUUGGGAUGUAAACUCCUUUCGAUCGGGAAGAUAAUGACGGUACC